UACGGAGGGUGCAAGCGUUAUCCGGAUUCACUGGGUUUAAAGGGUGCGUAGGUGGGCAGGUAAGUCAGUGGUGAAAUCUCCGGGCUUAACUCGGAAACUGCCAUUGAUACUAUCUGUCUUGAAUACCGUGGAGGUCAGCGGAAUAUGUCAUGUAGCGGUGAAAUGCUUAGAUAUGACAUAGAACACCAAUUGCGAAGGCAGCUGGCUACACGAAUAUUAACACUGAUGCACGAAAGCGUGGGGAUCAAACAGG
RNAcentral lists this ribosomal RNA (253 nucleotides) under uncultured bacterium. Its description in RNAcentral is "partial 16S ribosomal RNA". It matches the Rfam family "Bacterial small subunit ribosomal RNA", at positions 524 to 776 of the family's 1533-position model. The record is from RNAcentral.